RNAcentral lists this ribosomal RNA (1343 nucleotides) under uncultured bacterium. Its description in RNAcentral is "16S ribosomal RNA". It matches the Rfam family "Bacterial small subunit ribosomal RNA", at positions 28 to 1378 of the family's 1533-position model. The record is from RNAcentral.
GACGAACGCUGGCGGCGUGCUUAACACAUGCAAGUCGAACGGAAAGGCCCUGCUUUUGUGGGGUGCUCGAGUGGCGAACGGGUGAGUAACACGUGAGUAACCUGCCCUUGACUUUGGGAUAACUUCAGGAAACUGGGGCUAAUACCGGAUAGGAGCUCCUGCUGCAUGGUGGGGGUUGGAAAGUUUCGGCGGUUGGGGAUGGACUCGCGGCUUAUCAGCUUGUUGGUGGGGUAGUGGCUUACCAAGGCUUUGACGGGUAGCCGGCCUGAGAGGGUGACCGGCCACAUUGGGACUGAGAUACGGCCCAGACUCCUACGGGAGGCAGCAGUGGGGAAUAUUGCACAAUGGGCGGAAGCCUGAUGCAGCAACGCCGCGUGCGGGAUGACGGCCUUCGGGUUGUAAACCGCUUUCGCCUGUGACGAAGCGUGAGUGACGGUAAUGGGUAAAGAAGCACCGGCUAACUACGUGCCAGCAGCCGCGGUGAUACGUAGGGUGCGAGCGUUGUCCGGAUUUAUUGGGCGUAAAGGGCUCGUAGGUGGUUGAUCGCGUCGGAAGUGUAAUCUUGGGGCUUAACCCUGAGCGUGCUUUCGAUACGGGUUGACUUGAGGAAGGUAGGGGAGAAUGGAAUUCCUGGUGGAGCGGUGGAAUGCGCAGAUAUCAGGGGGAACACCAGUGGCGAAGGCGGUUCUCUGGGCCUUUCCUGACGCUGAGGAGCGAAAGCGUGGGGAGCGAACAGGCUUAGAUACCCUGGUAGUCCACGCUGUAAACGGUGGGUACUAGGUGUGGGGUCCAUUCCACGGGUUCCGUGCCGUAGCUAACGCUUUAAGUACCCCGCCUGGGGAGUACGGCCGCAAGGCUAAAACUCAAAGGAAUUGACGGGGCCCCGCACAAGCGGCGGAGCAUGCGGAUUAAUUCGAUGCAACGCGUAGAACCUUACCUGGGUUUGACAUGGAUCGGGAGUGCUCAGAGAUGGGUGUGCCUCUUUUGGGGUCGGUUCACAGGUGGUGCAUGCCUGUCGUCAGCUCGUGUCGUGAGAUGUUGGGUUAAGUCCCGCAACGAGCGCAACCCUUGUUCACUGUUGCCAGCACGUUAUGGUGGGGACUCAGUGGAGACCGCCGGGGUCAACUCGGAGGAAGGUGGGGAUGACGUCAAGUCAUCAUGCCCCUUAUGUCCAGGGCUUCACGCAUGCUACAAUGGCUGGUACAGAGAGUGGCGAGCCUGUGAGGGUGAGCGAAUCUCGGAAAGCCGGUCUCAGUUCGGAUUGGGGUCUGCAACUCGACCUCAUGAAGUCGGAGUCGCUAGUAAUCGCAGAUCAGCAACGCUGCGGUGAAUACGUUCCCGGG